RNAcentral lists this transfer RNA (76 nucleotides) under Chloroflexota bacterium. RNAcentral's name for it is "Chloroflexi bacterium (freshwater metagenome) tRNA-Val". It matches the Rfam family "tRNA". Rfam says of the family: Transfer RNA (tRNA) molecules are approximately 80 nucleotides in length. Their secondary structure includes four short double-helical elements and three loops (D, anti-codon, and T loops). The record is from RNAcentral. RNAcentral also lists the same sequence under 3 other names. Lineage: Bacteria; Bacillati; Chloroflexota.
GGGCGGUUAGCUCAGUGGUUAGAGCGCUGCGUUGACAUCGCAGAGGUCACUGGUUCAAGUCCAGUACUGCCCACCA